GUGGGAUUUCAUGACUGCCCCUGGCUUGCAAAUGCUGUUUCCCUGCCGACUGUGGUCAUCCCCUCUCCACUCCACCGUUGUUUCUUGGGUGUACAGGGUAGGAGGGCUAAUAACUUGUCUUUCUAGGUCAAUGUAUUGCAGACCAAGAGAAGCUAUCUGGACCCAGAAAGGACUCUCACAAUGGCAUGACAUGAGGACAGACUUGGAGCUUAAUGCAGUAACUGAAGAGAACCGCACAGCAUAUUCGCUGGAGAAGAGUGGCGGCCCACAGAGCCAGGCGUGGAAGAGUGUGAAAGGGCUGUCAGUGCGCUGGGGAUGCAAAGGAUCCACUUGAACGCCUGGAGCUCACUGGAGUGCCCCAUCCAAGUCGAUAUCAGGAACCUGAGGGGUCUGUGCUAGAGGACUAGAGCCUGCACUGGAAGCCAGGAGAGGACAUCCAAGGUGAAGGGGAAGGCAGGCGCUCUCCCGAAAAAACAGAGCCUCCUGGAAGAGUGUACAGCACCAAGGCGACCUUCAUCCGUCUCUACAGCGCUCCUCUCCUGCACCCCCUGGCACUUGGCACUGCAAAUGCAUCACCUCAAUCCGAACAGACUGUGUUCUUUGUUUCUCAACUCAGUGAAGCUGGGCUCCUCUCAC
RNAcentral lists this long non-coding RNA (636 nucleotides) under Heterocephalus glaber (naked mole-rat). Its description in RNAcentral is "lncRNA (ENSHGLG00000039256.1)". The record is from RNAcentral. Lineage: Eukaryota; Metazoa; Chordata; Mammalia; Rodentia; Bathyergidae.